CUUAGGGGGGAGCAGCAGCAAGGAAUUUUCCCCAAUGGGCGCAAGCCUGAGGGAGCAACGCCGCGUGGAGGACGACGGCCUUCGGGUGGUAAACUCCUUUCGGGGGGGACGAUGAUGACGGUACCCCCAGAAGCAGCCCCGGCUAAUUCUGUGCCAGCAGCCGCGGUAAGACAGAGGGGGCAAGCGUUUUCCGGAGUUACUGGGCGUAAAGGGCGCGGAGGCGUUGUGUUGCUUCGGCGCUGAAAGCCCCCCGUUUACCGGGGGGAGGCGCGCCGAUACGAGCAGGCUGGAGGCGAGCAGAGGGCGGCGAAAUUCCGGGUGGAGGGGUGAAAUGGGUAGAGAUCGGGAGGAACCCCAGUGGAGCACUCGGCCGCUGGGCCUCGACCUGACGUUGGGGCGGGACAGCGUGGGGAGCAACCCGGAUUAAUUCCCCGGGUAGUCCACCCGGUAAACGAUGCCGCUUGGGCGUUGGGCGCGCUCGAGCGCCCUGGGCGCCUUAGCUCACGCGGUAAGCCGUCCGCCUGACACA
Molecule: ribosomal RNA, 529 nt
Filed under: uncultured bacterium
Lineage: Bacteria
Description: partial 16S ribosomal RNA
Rfam family: Bacterial small subunit ribosomal RNA
Source: RNAcentral